This 65-nucleotide transfer RNA is filed under the name uncultured Ruminococcus sp. It matches the Rfam family "tRNA". From Rfam's summary of the family: Transfer RNA (tRNA) molecules are approximately 80 nucleotides in length. Their secondary structure includes four short double-helical elements and three loops (D, anti-codon, and T loops). Further hydrogen bonds mediate the characteristic L-shaped molecular structure. tRNAs have two regions of fundamental functional importance: the anti-codon, which is responsible for specific mRNA codon recognition, and the 3' end, to which the tRNAs corresponding amino acid is attached (by aminoacyl-tRNA synthetases). tRNAs cope with the degeneracy of the genetic code in two manners: having more than one tRNA (with a specific anti-codon) for a particular amino acid; and 'wobble' base-pairing, i.e. permitting non-standard base-pairing at the 3rd anti-codon position. Lineage: Bacteria; Bacillati; Bacillota; Clostridia; Eubacteriales; Oscillospiraceae. The record is from RNAcentral.
GCUGUCGCCAAGCGGUAAGGCACAGGACUUUGACUCCUGCAUGCGUGGGUUCGAAUCCCGCCAGC